Molecule: ribosomal RNA, 472 nt
Filed under: uncultured delta proteobacterium
Lineage: Bacteria; Deltaproteobacteria
Description: bacterial SSU rRNA
Rfam family: Bacterial small subunit ribosomal RNA
Source: RNAcentral
CGUGAGUGAAGAAGGCCCUCGGGUCGUAAAGCUCUGUCAAGUGGGAAAAAAGUCUUUUGAUCAAUAGUCAAAAGGCCUGAUGGUACUACUAGAGGAAGCACCGGCUAACUCCGUGCCAGCAGCCGCGGUAAUACGGAGGGUGCAAGCGUUGUUCGGAAUUACUGGGCGUAAAGAGCGUGUAGGCGGUAUGGUAAGUCAGAUGUGAAAGCCCUGGGCUCAACCCAGGAAGUGCAUUUGAUACUGCCAUUCUUGAGUAUGGGAGAGGAGAGUGGAAUUCCCAGUGUAGAGGUGAAAUUCGUAGAUAUUGGGAGGAACACCCGUGGCGAAGGCGACUCUCUGGACCAAUACUGACGCUGAGACGCGAAAGCGUGGGGAGCAAACAGGAUUAGAUACCCUGGUAGUCCACGCCGUAAACGAUGAGAACUAGGUGUAGCGGGUAUUGACCCCUGCUGUGCCGGAGUUAACGCAUUAA